Molecule: ribosomal RNA, 530 nt
Filed under: uncultured bacterium
Lineage: Bacteria
Description: bacterial SSU rRNA
Rfam family: Bacterial small subunit ribosomal RNA
Source: RNAcentral
AAUAGAUACCCGGGUAGUCCAUGCCGUAAACGAUGUCUACUAGCCGUUGGGGCCUUUGAGGCUUUAGUGGCGCAGCUAACGCGAUAAGUAGACCGCCUGGGGAGUACGGUCGCAAGACUAAAACUCAAAUGAAUUGACGGGGGCCCGCACAAGCGGUGGAGCAUGUGGUUUAAUUCGAUGCAACGCGAAGAACCUUACCUGGCCUUGACAUACUAGAAACUUUCCAGAGAUGGAUUGGUGCCUUCGGGAAUCUAGAUACAGGUGCUGCAUGGCUGUCGUCAGCUCGUGUCGUGAGAUGUUGGGUUAAGUCCCGCAACGAGCGCAACCCUUUCCUAUUUGCCAGCGAGUAAUGUCGGGAACUUUAAGGAUACUGCCAGUGACAAACUGGAGGAAGGCGGGGACGACGUCAAGUCAUCAUGGCCCUUACGGCCAGGGCUACACACGUGCUACAAUGGUCGGUACAAAGGGUUGCUACCUAGCGAUAGGAUGCUAAUCUCAAAAAGCCGAUCGUAGUCCGGAUUGGAGUCUGC